CUCGUUUUGUUUGUUUGCUCACUGCAAUUAUGUUAUCUAGUCUUGAAUUGCCAUGUGACAAAUAUGAAGAUUUACAAGCCCAAAAAAUUGUCUUAGAAUCAAAUGUUAAAAUCAUAAGCUAUCUCGAUGGCCAAAAUUACGCAAUAAAAUUCAUUAUAAAUAGACAAUUUCAAUCCUAUAUAACAAGAAAAACAACCAAGAGUUUCCAAUCUCAUAUCUCAAAAUAUGCCACUACGUACAAGCAACAAGACUAGGAAACUUCAAUUCAAGCUAAAUCAUAUGUACUACAAUAAACCCAGCUACAAUAAAGAGGUGUUUUAGAACCGAUAGACUUGGAUUUCUAGCC
This 346-nucleotide long non-coding RNA is filed under the name Medicago truncatula (barrel medic). RNAcentral describes it as "long non-coding RNA (MTRU_LNC000534)". Lineage: Eukaryota; Viridiplantae; Streptophyta; Magnoliopsida; Fabales; Fabaceae. The record is from RNAcentral.